CAUUGAUAAUAACUUACAACUAUUAUCCGCCUGGGAACUACGAGCACCAGCUUAAAACCCAAAGGACUUGGCGGUGCUUUAGACCCACCUAGAGGAGCCUGUUCUAGAACCGAUAACCCCCGUUCAACCUCACCCUUCCUUGUUCUUCCCGCCUAUAUACCACCGUCGUCAGCUUACCCUGUGAAGGACUAAUAGUAAGCGAAACUGGCAAAGCCCAAAACGUCAGGUCGAGGUGUAGCGUAUGGAAGGGGAAGAAAUGGGCUACAUUCACUAAUUUAGUGUAUACGAAUGACACCCUGAAACACGUGUCUGAAGGAGGAUUUAGCAGUAAGCAGAAAAUAGAGCGUUCUACUGAAACUGGCCCUGAAGCGCGC
This 374-nucleotide ribosomal RNA is filed under the name Acanthurus nigroris (bluelined surgeonfish). RNAcentral describes it as "partial 12S ribosomal RNA". It matches the Rfam family "Bacterial small subunit ribosomal RNA", at positions 844 to 1384 of the family's 1533-position model. The record is from RNAcentral. Lineage: Eukaryota; Metazoa; Chordata; Actinopteri; Acanthuriformes; Acanthuridae.